Epinephelus fuscoguttatus (brown-marbled grouper) is the source of this 333-nucleotide long non-coding RNA. RefSeq lists it as uncharacterized. Lineage: Eukaryota; Metazoa; Chordata; Actinopteri; Perciformes; Serranidae. The record is from RefSeq and is a predicted model, not a curated record. The transcript is spliced from 3 exons.
AAUUAGCCAAGCAGCUAGCGGACUUUUUCCUCUUCUCAUAUGAAGCCAGGGACAACAGCAACAUUUAACAAAGGUUUCAGUGAUCUAAUGCACCUGGGUCUUUGACUCUCGUCCACCAGCUUGUGCUACACUACGUAAAUGCAGCCUUGAUCUCAUUGUCAUUGCUGUAUCUCCACCUAGUGGCCACACACUGUCAUCACCACUUACUGAGACGGAGAGACGCGUGAGAAAGAUAUCAACACCUCGCUGAGAGUAGUGCACAGUACACGACAGCUACAAAAACAGCAGUGGAGUCAAUUACAAAACUAUCACCUGACCCCCCGGUACAGCAAC